This 253-nucleotide unclassified non-coding RNA is filed under the name fungal sp. RNAcentral's name for it is "partial internal transcribed spacer region". The stretch from base 1 to 65 matches the Rfam family "Eukaryotic small subunit ribosomal RNA", at positions 1767 to 1831 of the family's 1831-position model. The record is from RNAcentral. Lineage: Eukaryota; Fungi.
CGUCAUUUAGAGGAACUAAAAGUCGUAACAAGGUAACCGUAGGUGAACCUGCGGUUGGAUCAUUACUGAUUACCAGCUCUAUGGGUUGAUUCGAAAGAGUCCUCGUAGAGUUGAUCAACCCUUUGUGCACUGUUCUGUUUUUUGGGUCUCGUCUAGCCUAUGCUUGAGGCCCAGCAUUUAUACAAACCAUACCAAUUUUGACUUAAUCCUAUGAAAAUAGAAACAACUUUUGACAACGGAUCUCUUGGCUCUC